This 331-nucleotide ribosomal RNA is filed under the name uncultured bacterium. RNAcentral describes it as "bacterial SSU rRNA". It matches the Rfam family "Bacterial small subunit ribosomal RNA", at positions 568 to 898 of the family's 1533-position model. The record is from RNAcentral.
CGUGUAGGCGGUUUGUUAAGUCUGAUGUGAAAGCCCCGGGCUCAACCUGGGAAGUGCAUUGGAAACUGGCAGACUUGAAUACGGGAGAGGGUAGUGGAAUUCCUAGUGUAGGAGUGAAAUCCGUAGAUAUUAGGAGGAACACCGGUGGCGAAGGCGGCUGCCUGGACCGAUAUUGACGCUGAGACGCGAAAGCGUGGGGAGCAAACAGGAUUAGAUACCCUGGUAGUCCACGCCGUAAACGAUGAGUACUAGGUGUUGCGGGUAUUGACCCCUGCAGUGCCGCAGCUAACGCAUUAAGUACUCCGCCUGGGAAGUACGGCGCAAGGCUAAA